RNAcentral lists this ribosomal RNA (450 nucleotides) under uncultured bacterium. Its description in RNAcentral is "partial 16S ribosomal RNA". It matches the Rfam family "Bacterial small subunit ribosomal RNA", at positions 354 to 796 of the family's 1533-position model. The record is from RNAcentral.
GUGGGGAAUAUUCCGCAAUGGACGAAAGUCUGACGGAGCAACGCCGCGUGAGUGAUGAAGGUUUUCGGACUGUAAAGCUCUGUUGUUUAGGACGAAAGUGCCUGUUGCAAAUAGUUACAGGUAUUGACGGUACUGAACGAGGAAGCCACGGCUAACUACGUGCCAGCAGCCGCGGUAAUACGUAGGUGGCAAGCGUUGUCCGGAAUUAUUGGGCGUAAAGAGCAUGUAGGCGGGAAUCUAAGUCUGUUGUGAAAAUGCGGGGCUCAACCCCGUAUGGCGAUGGAAACUGGAUUUCUUGAGUGCAGGAGAGGAAAGGGGAAUUCCCAGUGUAGCGGUGAAAUGCGUAGAUAUUGGGAGGAACACCAGUGGCGAAGGCGCCUUUCUGGACUGUGUCUGACGCUGAGAUGCGAAAGCGUGGGGAUCAAACAGGAUUAGAAACCCCAGUAGUCC